This 85-nucleotide transfer RNA is filed under the name Panthera tigris altaica (Amur tiger). It matches the Rfam family "tRNA". From Rfam's summary of the family: Transfer RNA (tRNA) molecules are approximately 80 nucleotides in length. Their secondary structure includes four short double-helical elements and three loops (D, anti-codon, and T loops). The record is from Rfam by way of RNAcentral. Lineage: Eukaryota; Metazoa; Chordata; Mammalia; Carnivora; Felidae.
GCCUGGGUGGCUCAGCCAGUUGAGUAUCUGACUUCCGCUCAGGUCAUGGUCUUGCGGUUGGUGGGUUCGAGCCCCACACCGGGCU